UGGCCACUCCCACCGUCCGACGCAAGCAGCGGCGGCCUCGCGUCCGCCGGCGGCGGCUCGCGCUCGGCGGGGCAGGCGCUCCGGCGACUGACUCCGUGUGGCCGUGGGCUGCGCUCUUGAGGAGGUAUAUUACAUGUUUGCGUACUGUUGCUGCUGCUGCUGAAAUGCUUUUGCUUUUUGCGUGGUUGAACAAAGUUUGAUCAGGCCUUCAAGUUUCAAGUAAAGGCCGUGCUUGACAGUGAGUUAUUGGCAAUAUUUACAUACUCUAGAAGAGAUCAGAGCAGCAUGCUGCACCACUCUUGGUUCAUGGCGACGACGACGACGACGACGCCAUUAAAAAGUCUGAAUGCAGCAGACGGAGCAACUCAGGACCAGGCAAUUUAAUUGUUGGCGAGGUUCACCUAAUUAUGGAGAUGAUGCCAAUAGAUUCAGCUAGCUCGACCCCAGCUCAUUAUUCAUACAUGGUACAUGCAUGUAAAUGCAUGAUACUCUGGCAUCGUUCUAAUAUAAAUAGAGUUAUAUACACAUCUGAUCCAUAAACUUAUUUACAUGAGUAAUUUUAUCAUUUUUGAGAAGGUAC
This is a long non-coding RNA of Oryza brachyantha (malo sina), 580 nucleotides long. RefSeq lists it as uncharacterized. The record is from RefSeq and is a predicted model, not a curated record. The transcript has 3 exons. Lineage: Eukaryota; Viridiplantae; Streptophyta; Magnoliopsida; Poales; Poaceae.